UUACUAGGAGUUUGGUAGGUGGUGUUCCCGCAAUGCAGUGGUGAUGGCUCUGAAGUCUCGCCUCCUUUUAAAUGUGUAGGCCGAUAUGUCAGCAAAGAUAGUGGUUCCCUUAUAUUCAGCCGGUAGGCUUUUGCCUGUCCUGUUUGCUGAGAUAAUUGCUUCUUUGGCGUAAAAAUAGUGCAGCUGGAGCAUGACAUCUUGUGGCAUUUCUGGAGGUAAGAAUUGGG
Non-coding RNA from Pelobates cultripes (western spadefoot toad), 227 nucleotides. Lineage: Eukaryota; Metazoa; Chordata; Amphibia; Anura; Pelobatidae. The record is from the annotation of a GenBank genome assembly.